AGAGUUUGAUCCUGGCUCAGGAUGAACGCUAGCUACAGGCUUAACACAUGCAAGUCGAGGGGAAACGACAUCGAAAGCUUGCUUUUGAUGGGCGUCGACCGGCGCACGGGUGAGUAACGCGUAUCCAACCUGCCCACCACUUGGGGAUAACCUUGCGAAAGUAAGACUAAUACCCAAUGACGUCUCUAGAAGACAUCUGAAAGAGAUUAAAGAUUUAUCGGUGAUGGAUGGGGAUGCGUCUGGAUUAGCUUGUUGGCGGGGUAACGGCCACCAAGGCGACGAUCAGUAGGGGUUCUGAGAGGAAGGUCCCCCACGAUUGGAACUGAGACACGGUCCAAACUCCUACGGAGCA
This 352-nucleotide ribosomal RNA is filed under the name uncultured bacterium. RNAcentral's name for it is "bacterial SSU rRNA". It matches the Rfam family "Bacterial small subunit ribosomal RNA", at positions 8 to 349 of the family's 1533-position model. The record is from RNAcentral.